RNAcentral lists this ribosomal RNA (248 nucleotides) under uncultured bacterium. RNAcentral describes it as "partial 16S ribosomal RNA". It matches the Rfam family "Bacterial small subunit ribosomal RNA", at positions 86 to 334 of the family's 1533-position model. The record is from RNAcentral.
CUAUUUCUAGUGGCGGACGGGUGAGUAACGCGUGGGUAACCUGCCUUAUACAGGGGGAUAACAGUUAGAAAUGACUGCUAAUACCGCAUAAGACCACGGUACCGCAUGGUACAGGGGUAAAAACUCCGGUGGUAUGAGAUGGACCCGCGUCUGAUUAGGUAGUUGGUGGGGUAACGGCCUACCAAGCCGACGAUCAGUAGCCGACCUGAGAGGGUGACCGGCCACAUUGGGACUGAGACACGGCCCAG